RNAcentral lists this transfer RNA (70 nucleotides) under Staphylococcus epidermidis. RNAcentral describes it as "tRNA-Lys". The stretch from base 7 to 61 matches the Rfam family "tRNA", at positions 8 to 63 of the family's 71-position model. From Rfam's summary of the family: Transfer RNA (tRNA) molecules are approximately 80 nucleotides in length. Their secondary structure includes four short double-helical elements and three loops (D, anti-codon, and T loops). Further hydrogen bonds mediate the characteristic L-shaped molecular structure. tRNAs have two regions of fundamental functional importance: the anti-codon, which is responsible for specific mRNA codon recognition, and the 3' end, to which the tRNAs corresponding amino acid is attached (by aminoacyl-tRNA synthetases). tRNAs cope with the degeneracy of the genetic code in two manners: having more than one tRNA (with a specific anti-codon) for a particular amino acid; and 'wobble' base-pairing, i.e. permitting non-standard base-pairing at the 3rd anti-codon position. The record is from RNAcentral. Lineage: Bacteria; Bacillati; Bacillota; Bacilli; Caryophanales; Staphylococcaceae.
AGCCAUUAGCUCAGUUGGUAGAGCAUCUGACUUUUAAUCAGAGGGUCAGAGGACCUCCUUUCUAAGGAUA